This 621-nucleotide ribosomal RNA is filed under the name uncultured bacterium. Its description in RNAcentral is "bacterial SSU rRNA". It matches the Rfam family "Bacterial small subunit ribosomal RNA", at positions 83 to 701 of the family's 1533-position model. The record is from RNAcentral.
UAGAUCGAAGGAGUGGCGAACGGGUGAGUAAUACAUAAGCAACCUACCCACGAAGACUGGGAUAAUCUCUGGAAACGGGGACUAAUACCGGAUAGGUAAUCGGAAGGCAUCUUCUGGUUAUUAAAGGUUAAAAACACUGGUGGAUGGGCUUAUGGCGCAUUAGUUAGUUGGUGAGGUAACGGCCCACCAAGACGAUGAUGCGUAGCCGGCCUGAGAGGGUGAACGGCCACAUUGGGACUGAGACACGGCCCAGACUCCUACGGGAGGCAGCAGUAGGGAAUUUUCGGCAAUGGGGGAAACCCUGACCGAGCAACGCCGCGUGAGUGAUGACGGCCUUCGGGUUGUAAAGCUCUGUUGUAAGGGAAGAACGGUAGAUAGAGAAUAUCUAAGUGACGGUACCUUACCAGAAAGCCACGGCUAACUACGUGCCAGCAGCCGCGGUAAUACGUAGGUGGCGAGCGUUAUCCGGAAUUAUUGGGCGUAAAGGGUGCGUAGGCGGCCUGUUAAGUAAGUGGUUAAAUUGUUGGGCUCAACCCAAUCCAGCCACUUAAACUGGCAGGCUAGAGUAUUGGAGAGGCAAGUGGAAUUCCAUGUGUAGCGGUAAAAUGCGUAGAUAUAUGG